CAGUUUGUAGGCACUCUCAGCUUGUAGGCACUCUCAUCUUGUAGGUACUUGAAGGUACUCUCAGCUUGUAGGUACUCUCCGCUUGUAAGUACUCUCAGCUUGUAGGCACUCUCAGCUUGUAGGUACUUGAAGGUACUCUCAGCUUGUAGGUACUCUCAGCUUGUAGGUACUCUCCGCUUGUAGGUACUCUCAGCUUGUAGGUACUCAGCUUGUAGGUAUUCCCAGCUUGUAGGUACUCAGCUUGUAGGCACUCUCAGCUUGUAGGUACUGUCAGCUUGUAGGUACUCUCAGCUUGUAGGUACUCUCAGCUUGUAGGCACUCAGUUUGUAGGGGCACUCAGUUUGUAGGCACUCUCAGCUUGUAGGUACUCUCAGCUUAUAUGCACUCUCAGCC
RNAcentral lists this long non-coding RNA (393 nucleotides) under Oncorhynchus mykiss (rainbow trout). Its description in RNAcentral is "lncRNA (ENSOMYG00000059188.1)". Lineage: Eukaryota; Metazoa; Chordata; Actinopteri; Salmoniformes; Salmonidae. The record is from RNAcentral.